Molecule: ribosomal RNA, 88 nt
Filed under: Sarcocystis rileyi
Lineage: Eukaryota; Apicomplexa; Conoidasida; Eucoccidiorida; Sarcocystidae
Description: partial 5.8S ribosomal RNA
Rfam family: 5.8S ribosomal RNA
About the family: 5.8S ribosomal RNA (5.8S rRNA) is a component of the large subunit of the eukaryotic ribosome. It is transcribed by RNA polymerase I as part of the 45S precursor that also contains 18S and 28S rRNA.
Source: RNAcentral
AUUUUCAGCGAUGGAUGUCUUGGCUCGCGCAACGAUGAAGGACGCAGUGAAAUGCGAAACGCAAUGUGAAUUGCAGAAUUCAGGGAAU